GGCCAAGUUUUUAAGGGCGCACGGUGGAUGCCUUGGCACCAGGAACCGAUGAAGGACGUGGGAGGCCACGAUAGUCCCCGGGGAGCCGUCAACCAGGCUUUGAUCCGGGGGUUUCCGAAUGGGGAAACCCGGCAGUCGUCAUGGGCUGUCACCCGCUGCUGAACACAUAGGCAGUGUGGAGGGAACGCGGGGAAGUGAAACAUCUCAGUACCCGCAGGAAGAGAAAACAACCGUGAUUCCGGGAGUAGUGGCGAGCGAAACCGGAUGAGGCCAAACCGUAUACGUGUGAGACCCGGCAGGGGUUGCGUGUGCGGGGUUGUGGGAUCUCUCUUUCACAGUCUGCCGGCUGUGAGGCGAGUCAGAAACCGUUGAUGUAGGCGAAGGACAUGCGAAAGGUCCGGCGUAGAGGGUAAGACCCCCGUAGUCGAAACAUCAGCGGCUCGUUUGAGAGACACCCAAGUAGCACGGGGCCCGAGAAAUCCCGUGUGAAUCUGGCGGGACCACCCGCUAAGCCUAAAUAUUCCCUGGUGACCGAUAGCGGAUAGUACCGUGAGGGAAUGGUGAAAAGUACCGCGGGAGCGGAGUGAAAUAGUACCUGAAACCGUGUGCCUACAAGCCGUGGGAGCGUCGGACAUCAAGCUUGCUUGGUGUCUCGUGACUGCGUGCCUUUUGAAGAAUGAGCCUGCGAGUUUGCGGUGUGUUGCGAGGUUAACCCGAGUGGGGAAGCCGUAGCGAAAGCGAGUCCGAAUAGGGCGUUUCAGUAGCACGCUCAAGACCCGAAGCGGAGUGAUCUAGCCAUGGGCAGGUUGAAGCGGAGGUAAGACUUCGUGGAGGACCGAACCCACCAGGGUUGAAAACCUGGGGGAUGACCUGUGGUUAGGGGUGAAAGGCCAAUCAAACUCCGUGAUAGCUGGUUCUCCCCGAAAUGCAUUUAGGUGCAGCGUCGUGUGUUUCUUGCCGGAGGUAGAGCACUGGAUAGGCGAUGGGCCCUACCGGGUUACUGACCUUAGCCAAACUCCGAAUGCCGGUAAGUGAGAGCGCGGCAGUGAGACUGUGGGGGAUAAGCUCCAUGGUCGAGAGGGAAACAGCCCAGAGCAUCGACUAAGGCCCCUAAGCGUACGCUAAGUGGGAAAGGAUGUGGAGUCGCACAGACAACCAGGAGGUUGGCUUAGAAGCAGCCACCCUUGAAAGAGUGCGUAAUAGCUCACUGGUCUAGUGAUUCCGCGCCGACAAUGUAGCGGGGCUCAAGCGUACCGCCGAAGUCGUGUCAUUCAUACAAUAGGGCCAACGCCUGUAUGGAUGGGUAGGGGAGCGUCGUGUGCCGGGUGAAGCAGCCGCGGAAGCGAGUUGUGGACGGUUCACGAGUGAGAAUGCAGGCAUGAGUAGCGAUACAAACGUGAGAAACGUUUGCGCCGAUUGACUAAGGGUUCCUGGGUCAAGCUGAUCUGCCCAGGGUAAGUCGGGACCUAAGGCGAGGCCGACAGGCGUAGUCGAUGGAUAACCGGUUGAUAUUCCGGUACCCGCUGUGAAGCGUCAAACAUCGAGCAUCGUGAUGCUAAGGCCGUGAAGCCGCCCUGAUCUCUUCGGAGUUGAGGGGAGUGGUGGAGCCGCCGAACCAAGCGGUUAGUAGGUGAGUGAUGGGGUGACGCAGGAAGGUAGUCCAUCCCGGGCGGUGGUUGUCCCGGGGUAAGGGUGUAGGACGUCAGGUAGGUAAAUCCGCCUGGCAAUAGUCUGAGACCUGAUGCCGAGCCGAUUGUGGUGAAGUGGAUGAUCCUAUGCUGUCGAGAAAAGCCUCUAGCGAGUUUCAUGGCGGCCCGUACCCUAAACCGACUCAGGUGGUCAGGUAGAGAAUACCGAGGCGUUCGGGUGAACUAUGGUUAAGGAACUCGGCAAAAUGCCCCCGUAACUUCGGGAGAAGGGGGGCCACACCUGGUGAUGAUCUUUACGGUCUGAGCUGGGGGUGGCCGCAGAGACCAGCGAGAAGCGACUGUUUACUAAAAACACAGGUCCGUGCGAAGCCGUAAGGCGAUGUAUACGGACUGACGCCUGCCCGGUGCUGGAACGUUAAGGGGACCGGUUAGCUCCAUUUCGGUGGGGCGAAGCUGAGAACUUAAGCGCCAGUAAACGGCGGUGGUAACUAUAACCAUCCUAAGGUAGCGAAAUUCCUUGUCGGGUAAGUUCCGACCUGCACGAAUGGCGUAACGACUUCUCGACUGUCUCAACCAUAGGCCCGGUGAAAUUGCACUACGAGUAAAGAUGCUCGUUUCGCGCAGCAGGACGGAAAGACCCCGGGACCUUUACUACAGUUUGAUAUUGGUGUUCGGUUCGGCUUGUGUAGGAUAGCUGGGAGACUUUGAAGCUCGCACGCCAGUGUGGGUGGAGUCGUCGUUGAAAUACCAGUCUGGUCGUGCUGGAUGUCUAACCUGGGUCCGUGAUCCGGAUCAGGGACAGUGUCUGAUGGGUAGUUUAACUGGGGCGGUUGCCUCCUAAAGAGUAACGGAGGCGCCCAAAGGUUCCCUCAGCCUGGUUGGCAAUCAGGUGUUGAGUGUAAGUGCACAAGGGAGCUUGACUGUGAGACCGACGGGUCGAGCAGGGACGAAAGUCGGGACUAGUGAUCCGGCGGUGGCUUGUGGAAGCGCCGUCGCUCAACGGAUAAAAGGUACCCCGGGGAUAACAGGCUGAUCUUCCCCAAGAGUCCAUAUCGACGGGAUGGUUUGGCACCUCGAUGUCGGCUCGUCGCAUCCUGGGGCUGGAGUCGGUCCCAAGGGUUGGGCUGUUCGCCCAUUAAAGCGGUACGCGAGCUGGGUUUAGAACGUCGUGAGACAGUUCGGUCCCUAUCCGCUGUGCGCGUAGGAGUCUUGAGAAGGGCUGUCCCUAGUACGAGAGGACCGGGACGGACGAACCUCUGGUGUGCCAGUUGUCCUGCCAAGGGCAUGGCUGGUUGGCUACGUUCGGGAGGGAUAACCGCUGAAAGCAUCUAAGCGGGAAGCCUGCUUCGAGAUGAGGACUCCCACCCCCUUGAGGGGUUAAGGCUCCCAGUAGACGACUGGGUUGAUAGGCCGGAUCUGGAAGCACCGCAAGGUGUGGAGGUGACCGGUACUAAUAGGCCGAGGGCUUGUCCUC
Streptomyces ambofaciens ATCC 23877 is the source of this 3123-nucleotide non-coding RNA. The record is from Rfam. NCBI's taxonomy places the organism in Bacteria, Bacillati, Actinomycetota, Actinomycetes, Kitasatosporales, Streptomycetaceae.